This 321-nucleotide ribosomal RNA is filed under the name uncultured eukaryote. RNAcentral's name for it is "partial 18S ribosomal RNA". It matches the Rfam family "Eukaryotic small subunit ribosomal RNA", at positions 1470 to 1796 of the family's 1831-position model. The record is from RNAcentral.
CCCUUAGAUGUUCUGGGCCGCACGCGUGCUACACUGAGUGGAUCAGCGGUCAGGUUGCGCGAAAGUGUUUCCUAAUCUUGAAAUCCGCUCGUGAUGGGGAUUGACGGUUGCAAUUUUCCGUCAUGAACGAGGAAUACCUUGUAAGCGCGGGUCAUCAUCCCGCGCUGAAUACGUCCCUGCCCUUUGUACACACCGCCCGUCGCUCCUACCGAUUGAGUGGUCCGGUGAGGCUUUGGGAUCUGAGCGGAAAGAGCGUUUCGCUGUUUCUGCUCGGAAAACUCAGUCGAACCUUAUCAUUUAGAGGAAGGAGAAGUCGUAACA